This 253-nucleotide ribosomal RNA is filed under the name uncultured bacterium. Its description in RNAcentral is "partial 16S ribosomal RNA". It matches the Rfam family "Bacterial small subunit ribosomal RNA", at positions 524 to 776 of the family's 1533-position model. The record is from RNAcentral.
UACGGAGGGUGCAAGCGUUGUCCGGAUUUAUUGGGUUUAAAGGGUGCGUAGGCGGUCUUUUAAGUCAGUGGUGAAAUCCUCCAGCUCAACUGGAGAACUGCCAUUGAUACUGGAAGACUUGAGUAUAGUUGAGGUAGGCGGAAUUGACAGUGUAGCGGUGAAAUGCAUAGAUAUUGUCAAGAACACCGAUUGCGAAGGCAGCUUACUAAACUAUAACUGACGCUGAGGCACGAAAGUGCGGGGAGCAAACGGG